AACGCAAAUUGCACUCUCUGGUUUUCCGGGGAGUAUGCCUGUUUGAGGGUCAGUAUAAAUUAAAUCGGCGCGUUGCUUUUGGGUGACGUUCCGGAGUUUGGGUCAUCUUUAAAGUCUCCUAGAUUUCAAGAGACCUAAAAUUGACAUCUUUUUUGCGCACUUUUAGACGUACAUAAUUUUUAUUUAGUCUAUUCGGGUGACAAAAAAUUUUAUUAGAUGUGACCAUGUCAAGCGGUCUCAUGUCUAUAAGAUUUCAUAAUUUGACCUCAAAUCAGGUAGGAGUACCCGCUGAACUUAA
This 298-nucleotide unclassified non-coding RNA is filed under the name uncultured fungus. Its description in RNAcentral is "partial contains 5.8S ribosomal RNA, internal transcribed spacer 2, and large subunit ribosomal RNA". The stretch from base 1 to 52 matches the Rfam family "5.8S ribosomal RNA", at positions 103 to 154 of the family's 154-position model. The record is from RNAcentral. Lineage: Eukaryota; Fungi.